CAGCUACACGGCUCUCGUCUUUUUGUCUUGGCUAUUUUACACGGCUCUCGUCUCUUUGUCUUUUCUCUCUCGGCGGCUAGGGUUUUGGCGCAGCUUUCUCAGUCUCCCACAUCAGAGAAAAAUGUAUCGGUCUGAGCUACGCCUUCAAUGCUUGUCCCUCGUCCUUUUGGUUGUACUUGUCCCUCAUCUUUUAUCUGAUGCUCGGCCUCUGAAUCGAAGCAUGGAGGUGGAGGGGAAGAAGAAGCAAUCCUUAUCCAAUUCAACUUUUGAGGCACCGGUCGAGAUUCCAGCCGGAGGUCCGCCAGCUAUGUAUUCCCCUCCUUCCCACAUUGGAAACCAUGAGAUGGGUAGUGGUGGUCAGAGGAGGGUUCAUGGUGGUGAAUAUCUUCCACUUGAUAAAGGUCCAGUCCCACCUUCUGCCCCCAGUCCAAUCACACACGGGCCAUGAUUCUAUUUGCAACUUUGAGACGAGUAGUGCUGGUCAGAGGGUGGGUUCAUGCUGCCUACAUAUGUACUUCAUUAUGCCCUGUUUCGUUUCGUUUUAUGUUGUGGAAAAAAAUGGGAACUUUAUAUGUUGG
Long non-coding RNA from Quercus robur (English oak), 578 nucleotides. RefSeq lists it as uncharacterized. The record is from RefSeq and is a predicted model, not a curated record. NCBI's taxonomy places the organism in Eukaryota, Viridiplantae, Streptophyta, Magnoliopsida, Fagales, Fagaceae. The transcript has 3 exons.